RNAcentral lists this unclassified non-coding RNA (253 nucleotides) under uncultured fungus. RNAcentral's name for it is "partial contains 5.8S ribosomal RNA, internal transcribed spacer 2, and large subunit ribosomal RNA". Lineage: Eukaryota; Fungi. The record is from RNAcentral.
AACGCACAUUGCGCCUCCCUGAAAGGGGAGGCAUGCCUGUCUGAGCGUCUUUUAAAUCUCAUGGGCUUCAGCUUUGUGGCCCGAGUUGGGCCUCGCCCCCCCUCUGGCUGGGGGCGUCGCCUCAAAGGCAUCGGCGUCGAUGUCGAGCGGACGAGUCCCUCUAGGGCCCCCAUGCGCUCCAUUCGACGCGAUGAAAGGGUCGUCUUGACCUACAACAGACCUCAGAUCAGGUAGGAGCACCGCCUGAACUUAA